RNAcentral lists this transfer RNA (73 nucleotides) under Stegodyphus mimosarum. It matches the Rfam family "tRNA". From Rfam's summary of the family: Transfer RNA (tRNA) molecules are approximately 80 nucleotides in length. Their secondary structure includes four short double-helical elements and three loops (D, anti-codon, and T loops). Lineage: Eukaryota; Metazoa; Arthropoda; Arachnida; Araneae; Eresidae. The record is from Rfam by way of RNAcentral.
ACCAUUGUGGUAUAAUGGUCAGCACACUCGGCGCGUAUUCGAGAGGUCUGAGGUUCGAGUCCCAGCGAAGGCA